RNAcentral lists this ribosomal RNA (497 nucleotides) under uncultured bacterium. RNAcentral describes it as "partial 16S ribosomal RNA". It matches the Rfam family "Bacterial small subunit ribosomal RNA", at positions 28 to 507 of the family's 1533-position model. The record is from RNAcentral.
GAUGAACGCUGGCGGCGUGCCUAAUACAUGCAAGUCGAGCGAACGGACGAGAAGCUUGCUUCUCUGAUGUUAGCGGCGGACGGGUGAGUAACACGUGGAUAACCUACCUAUAAGACUGGGAUAACUUCGGGAAACCGGAGCUAAUACCGGAUGAUAUUUUGAACCGCAUGGUUCAAAAGUGAAAGACGGUCUUGCUGUCACUUAUAGAUGGAUCCGCGCUGCAUUAGCUAGUUGGUAAGGUAACGGCUUACCAAGGCUACGAUGCAUAGCCGACCUGAGAGGGUGAUCGGCCACACUGGAACUGAGACACGGUCCAGACUCCUACGUGAGGCAGCAGUAGGGAAUCUUCCGCAAUGGGCGAAAGCCUGACGGAGCAACGCCGCGUGAGUGAUGAAGGUCUUCGGAUCGUAAAACUCUGUUAUUAGGGAAGAACAUAUGUGUAAGUAACUGUGCACAUCUUGACGGUACCUAAUCAGAAAGCCACGGCUAACUACGUG